RNAcentral lists this unclassified non-coding RNA (319 nucleotides) under uncultured Byssoporia. Its description in RNAcentral is "partial contains 5.8S ribosomal RNA, internal transcribed spacer 2, and large subunit ribosomal RNA". Lineage: Eukaryota; Fungi; Basidiomycota; Agaricomycetes; Atheliales; Atheliaceae. The record is from RNAcentral.
AAUGCACCUUGCGCCUCUUGGUAUUCUGAGGGGCACGCCUUUUUGAGUAUCGUGAAAUCCUCAACCCGAUUCCUUUUCAUUGAGAAAGGGGGACAAGGGCUUGGACUUUGGAGGUCUUGCCGGUCCCCCCCGAUCGGCUCCUCUCGAACGCAUUAGUGGAGCUCAUAAGCUCUCUCCGCCCCUCGGUGUGAUAGUCAUCUAUGCCGACGCGUGAGGGAGGGAAGGCGCCGCUUCUAACGAACCAUGCCUCGCCUUGUGCGAGAGCGUGGAUAUGGAACCCUUUGAUCUCAAAUCAGGUGGGACUACCUGCUGAACUUAA